Molecule: long non-coding RNA, 982 nt
Filed under: Sorghum bicolor (sorghum)
Lineage: Eukaryota; Viridiplantae; Streptophyta; Magnoliopsida; Poales; Poaceae
Description: long non-coding RNA (SBIC_LNC004746)
Source: RNAcentral
GGAAGAAAACUUGAUCUGAAGUCUAAGUUGUUAACGGAUAUGAUAUGGGAAGGUUGAGCUGCUGUUUAUCUGUUCCUAGAGAUGCUAGAAUUGUGGAGAAUUUUAUCUUUGAAAAAUCUUUAAAAUAAUACAUGAUGAGUUCCUGUAUGAUGAGAGUUUAAAUUCCUACCACAGCCAUAUAUACAUGCUUGCUAGACUUUGAGCCACACAUAUACUUUUUACUGCUUAUGAGCAUUGAGUGUGGUCAAGCUGUGUAGACCCUUAGGAGCUUGUCAUGUGGUUAAAUCAAGAUUCACUUACACGUUCACUCACACAUGCUGCUUCUACUCUGGAAGUACGCAUCCACAUAUAUCCACCCAUUUCUAUCUCCAGAACCACCCAAAAAUAUUCUACUCCUAUCCAGGAGAGAAUAGUCAAAUAUAUUUCUAUUUUUCCCUGUGAAAUAAAUGCUCAAGUUAUCUUGGUUACUACCACUUGCUAUAUUAUCUCAUGAGAUGAGUGCUCUAAAAAAAGAAAAGAGAUACGAGGAAAUAAAAAGGGGCAAGUGCCCAGAACCUCGAAAGAAAAGAAAAAGUGAGACGAGAGGUAAAAAUGGACAAGUGUCCGACAGUAGAAUUAGGGGUACAAGAUACCCACCUGAGAGGAAAGAAAAAGAAAAGAUAGAGCAUCUCAUUCUCCUUAAAAAGUUUCAAAGAGCAAGGAAGGUAUGUAUCCUCUCAAAAGAGCAAAAGUAGAAUUAGACUUUCUCCAUUGUUAUCACCAUCAUCACCAUAUACCAUUCAUUCGCCACACAUGCACAUCUUGAUUCGACUUAUUGACUUGUUUCUUUGGAUCCAUGGUUUGACUAUGCAAUAAAUGUCUUGUAAGUAUGUAUACUUUAUCUCCCACCUAUGAGUUCCAGAUAUCAAAGCCUUAUUAGAAUAGGGUGAGAGAGAAGGCAUAUAACAUCACUGCCUUGGUAAGGAUCCAGAAAUACCACAAA